Long non-coding RNA from Salvelinus fontinalis (brook trout), 720 nucleotides. RefSeq lists it as uncharacterized. The transcript has 3 exons. NCBI's taxonomy places the organism in Eukaryota, Metazoa, Chordata, Actinopteri, Salmoniformes, Salmonidae. The record is from RefSeq and is a predicted model, not a curated record.
CUGUAAAUUCUACCAUCACUCAAGUGCGGGCCUUCAGCAAAUAAUGUGCUUUUACAGAUCUGUGAAAUGAGCUCAGUCGCUCUUGCGGUGACGGUUUACAGAAAACGUAAAACAUCUGACUUGCGUUUGAUCUGUAAAUGCACUGAUACUCACCUAUGUCGACUGAAACGAAACAAAAUAUCUAUGUUGUAUUAAUUGUACCUUUGCUUUUACAAAUGACUCAUCCACACUGAAUUAUGGAAGACCAAACAUCUCCUGUUCGUGAACAGCACAUGUUCAACAUUGUCAAUCUUCAGCGACAAUGUUGGAAAGACAUAAGGAGUGUCCAACAAUGACAAGCUCACUGUCAGACAAUGCAGGUGUACCCACUCCUGAGGAGCUGAUCUCCAUCUACUGCCGGGGGAUGCCAUCCUCUGCCUCAGCUCAACUUCUACCUGGCCCUCUCUGUCUUUAAGAUGGCAGGGAACGCUCAGGGCAUCUAUGUCCGCCACCUCCUGGGCAAUGCCAGUGCUCCGAAUGCUGCCCAGUUUGGCCAGAGUGUGGAGCCGUUGGCCCAGGUUGGGAUGCAGAUUGCAGAAAGGUAUUUUGGUUCACGUGAUACGAAAACUACACCCUAUCAUCGCAUUAUUGUGUGUGUGUGUGUGUGUGUGUGUGUGUGUGUGUGUGUGUGUGUGUGUGUGUGUGUGUGUGUGUGUGUGUGUGUGUGUGUGUGUGUGUGUG